This is a long non-coding RNA of Tupaia belangeri chinensis (Chinese tree shrew), 728 nucleotides long. RefSeq lists it as uncharacterized. The record is from RefSeq and is a predicted model, not a curated record. The transcript has 3 exons. Lineage: Eukaryota; Metazoa; Chordata; Mammalia; Scandentia; Tupaiidae.
UUUUGCUGUAAAGUUGUUUAGUAAAUAUUUACUUUUGCUUAAAUGUUUGCUUUCUAUUAAAAGUUGAUGCAGCAGGGCCCCUGCCUCUUAGAGAACUGGAAGCUGACUGCAAGGGAUUAAAAAGCCUAUCAUGGUUUCUCUAGGAGGUGUGAAGGCAAAUCUCUUAAUCCAGGAUCAUCACGGACUGAUAAAUUUCAUUCAGAAAACUGGCAAACACAGGGUUCUAUCAGUGAACUCUGCUCACCUGGCAAGGGUGAAGUUACUGGAUACGAACAUCUACAACACUGGCCCCCAGAGACUGUGGAGCGGGAAAGCACCUCACUGAUCACACGGAUGGAAGAAAGGAAAAUAGGCAGAGAGCAUCUAUAUUUAGUUGCAGAGAGAAAGAGAAAAGAGACAGGGAGGAUAAGCCCACUGUCUCAGAUCCUGGUCUCUCAGUCUGUGGAAUCCAGCAGUAACCCUGCACCUGCAGCCAGGCCCUCACCCAGGACUCCCUAGCCGCAGAGCCCAGAAAGGCAGCCAAGACUGAGAUGCUUGGCAGUGGGAGCCAUUUCUUAUUAACCUGAUUGGUCUCCUCUGUGAGGACACUGUAUCCACAAGCAAAUCCCAACAUGGGAGUUGUCCGGGAGUGGAGGGGAGGAGUUGGGACACCCCCGCCCCCAACUUUCAUGCAGCCAAGCUCUGCAAGAGUCCUCUGGGCAGAAAAUUAAAAAUCAAUGUUUGAUACC